Molecule: ribosomal RNA, 253 nt
Filed under: uncultured bacterium
Lineage: Bacteria
Description: partial 16S ribosomal RNA
Rfam family: Bacterial small subunit ribosomal RNA
Source: RNAcentral
GACGUAGGGCGCGAGCGUUGUCCGGAUUUAUUGGGCGUAAAGAGCUCGUAGGCGGUCUGUCGCGUCGGCUGUGAAAACCCGGAGCUCAACUCCGGGCCUGCAGUCGAUACGGGCAGACUGGAGUUCGGCAGGGGAGACUGGAAUUCCCGGUGUAGCGGUGAAAUGCGCAGAUAUCGGGAGGAACACCGGUGGCGAAGGCGGUUCUCUGGGCCUUACCUGACGCUGAGGAGCGAAAGCGUGGGGAGCGAACAGG